This 172-nucleotide ribosomal RNA is filed under the name uncultured Streptococcus sp. RNAcentral describes it as "partial 16S ribosomal RNA". It matches the Rfam family "Bacterial small subunit ribosomal RNA", at positions 1211 to 1382 of the family's 1533-position model. The record is from RNAcentral. Lineage: Bacteria; Bacillati; Bacillota; Bacilli; Lactobacillales; Streptococcaceae.
GGGCUACACACGUGCUACAAUGGUCGGUACAACGAGUUGCGAGUCGGUGACGGCGAGCUAAUCUCUUAAAGCCAAUCUCAGUUCGGAUUGUAGGCUGCAACUCGCCUACAUGAAGUCGGAAUCGCUAGUAAUCGCGGAUCAGCACGCCGCGGUGAAUACGUUCCCGGGCCUU